GCUCAGAACGAACGCUGGCGGCGUGGAUGAGGCAUGCAAGUCGAGCGAGAACCGGCGAGUAGCAAUACAAGCUGGGGAAAGCGGCGAACGGGUGAGUAAUGCAUGGGCAAUCUACCUUGAAGUUUGGAAUAGCCUGCCGAAAGGCGGAGUAAUACCGAAUGUGGUCGUCCCGCGCAUGCGGGACUGUCUAAAGGCGGGGAUCGCAAGACCUGCCGCUUCAUGAUGAGCCCAUGUCCCAUCAGCUAGUUGGUGAGGUAACGGCCCACCAAGGCUUACGGGUAGCUGGUCUGAGAGGAUGGUCAGCCACACUGGGACUGAGACACUGCCCAGACCCCUACGGGAGGCUGCAGUCGAGGAUCUUGGACAAUGCGCGAAAGCGUGAUCCAGCGACGUCGCGUGCAGGAUGAAGGCCUUCGGGUUGUAAACUGCUGUCGUGAGGGAACAAUAACCUGCGUGUGAACAAUACGCGGGAAUGAUAGUACCUCAGGAGGAAGCCACGGCUAACUCUGUGCCAGCAGCCGCGGUAAUACAGAGGUGGCGAGCGUUGUUCGGAUUUACUGGGCGUAAAGGGUGCGUAGGCGGUUUUGUGUGUUGGAUGUAAAAUCUUGCCGCUCAACGGCAAAACAGCAUCCAAAACUACAGGACUAGAGGUCAGGAGAGGAAGGCGGAAUUCUCGGUGUAGCGGUGAAAUGCGUAGAUAUCGAGAGGAACACCGGUGGCGAAGGCGGCCUCCUGGACUGAUUCUGACGCUGAGGCACGAAGGCCGGG
RNAcentral lists this ribosomal RNA (768 nucleotides) under uncultured bacterium. RNAcentral's name for it is "bacterial SSU rRNA". It matches the Rfam family "Bacterial small subunit ribosomal RNA", at positions 22 to 764 of the family's 1533-position model. The record is from RNAcentral.